Zalophus californianus (California sea lion) is the source of this 340-nucleotide long non-coding RNA. RefSeq lists it as uncharacterized. NCBI's taxonomy places the organism in Eukaryota, Metazoa, Chordata, Mammalia, Carnivora, Otariidae. The transcript is spliced from 3 exons. The record is from RefSeq and is a predicted model, not a curated record.
UUCUGACAAGUCCUCCGGAUGACUCCAGGCCGACCCGCUCAGCCUGUACCCCACAUCCCAGGCAGGUGUGGGGACAUGGAGCAGCCAUAGAGGAACCUUCCUGAACCGUGACACUACAGAUGUGUCGAGCAGCUUCGCCUUGAGCCUCAAAAUCACGAUCCCCUUGGAAGUGGCAUCCUCAGGGGCUGUAGAAGGAGAAGAAACUUCAAAUGAUGAAGUGACUUGCCUAAAUUUUCCCAGCCUAUAAAAGCAGAGCUGGAAUGUGAACCCAGAAACUUCCGUAACCACCACACUUCAAGGUAGAAACACCUUGUGCCAAAGGCCUCCUGUAGGAUUCCUC